This 507-nucleotide long non-coding RNA is filed under the name Androctonus crassicauda. The record is from RNAcentral. Lineage: Eukaryota; Metazoa; Arthropoda; Arachnida; Scorpiones; Buthidae.
CUAUGUUUUGUUUCAGUGUAGAUUCAGUUUUUAACAAAUGAUCUAUUUUAUAGGGCAAAUAAUUAACAUAGAACUACAAUAAUAUAAAAAAUAAUGAAUUAUUAUUGUAAAAUAUAUAUAAUAUACAAUCAGAGCUGCGUAAAACACUUUUUAAAAGAAUUUAAUGGUCUUUUAUGUUUAGCUGUCAAAAUCGAGCAGCGAAAGCGGGGUGUCGUAGAUGCAGCCAGGAUGAUUGAACACAAUGUAGCUGGGAGCAGUAAACAAUCACAGCUGAAGGCACAACAGAAAGAAAUGUGUAGCACACACAGCACACAGGACUAACAUGUAGGGGAUAAGAGCAUGGUGUUGCCACCUAGUCAGUGAUCGAAACACUAAGUUGGCCGGAUUGGCUGCAUGGAAAUGCUUCAGCUUUCCACUCUCGAAGACCCGGGUUCGAGUCUCAGGUCCCAUCUCUUGAAAAUAUUUAUCAUGGGGUCCAGGCCCAGCCCAUCAAUCCCCAUCCUCCAC